GAAAAGCGAAAUUCGGGAGUAGAUCGGGGAAAAGAAAAAGUAAAGGACUAAAUUGUAAAGUUUUGUCACAUUUUGUAUCGAGUACUUAUCUAGCCACUCGGGGAUCGAAGGAAACGUCGGAGGCCGAUCACACUAUCAAAGAAAUAACUCAGUAUAAUUAGACGUUUUGUUUUGUGUAUGGCAUGUAUAGAAACUUAGCUACUUUUGGCAUAAUAUGAACAAUGAAUGAUGUGUAAAUCCUUGCUAGUGAUUAGCUAAUAAAAAUGGCCGAUGAUAUGCAUGUUUAUUAA
This is a long non-coding RNA of Gossypium arboreum, 290 nucleotides long. RefSeq lists it as uncharacterized. The record is from RefSeq and is a predicted model, not a curated record. NCBI's taxonomy places the organism in Eukaryota, Viridiplantae, Streptophyta, Magnoliopsida, Malvales, Malvaceae. The transcript has 2 exons.